CUACGCUGCGAUAAGCCGUGGGGAGCUGCGAAGAAGCUUUGAUCCACGGAUUUCCGAAUGGGGAAACCCACCUUCGAUAGCCGGAACUCCAAGACCUUGUGUUUUGGGGUUCGACCAGAAAUGGAAGAAAUCAGACCGCGAGGUUUUGGAUUUCCGGUUAUCAAGAGAAGGUAUGAGACUUCCGAAUAAAAUAGGAGGUUUUAAGCAAACCCAGGGAACUGAAACAUCUAAGUACCUGGAGGAAAGGACAUCAAUCGAGACUCCGUUAGUAGUGGCGAGCGAACGCGGACCAGGCCAGUGAUACAUCAAAGACAAUCGGAACCUGUCAGGAAAGCAGGGCCUCAGAGGGUGAUAGCCCCGUACGAGUAAUGCGAUGAUGUAUCCGCGAGUAAGGCGGGACACGUGUAAUCCUGUCUGAACACGGGGGGACCACCCUCCAAGCCUAAGUACUCCUCAGCGACCGAUAGU
Molecule: ribosomal RNA, 468 nt
Filed under: Bradyrhizobium sp.
Lineage: Bacteria; Pseudomonadati; Pseudomonadota; Alphaproteobacteria; Hyphomicrobiales; Nitrobacteraceae
Description: partial 23S ribosomal RNA
Rfam family: Bacterial large subunit ribosomal RNA
Source: RNAcentral